This 72-nucleotide transfer RNA is filed under the name Sphaerodactylus townsendi. RNAcentral's name for it is "tRNA-Ala". It matches the Rfam family "tRNA". From Rfam's summary of the family: Transfer RNA (tRNA) molecules are approximately 80 nucleotides in length. Their secondary structure includes four short double-helical elements and three loops (D, anti-codon, and T loops). Further hydrogen bonds mediate the characteristic L-shaped molecular structure. tRNAs have two regions of fundamental functional importance: the anti-codon, which is responsible for specific mRNA codon recognition, and the 3' end, to which the tRNAs corresponding amino acid is attached (by aminoacyl-tRNA synthetases). tRNAs cope with the degeneracy of the genetic code in two manners: having more than one tRNA (with a specific anti-codon) for a particular amino acid; and 'wobble' base-pairing, i.e. permitting non-standard base-pairing at the 3rd anti-codon position. Lineage: Eukaryota; Metazoa; Chordata; Lepidosauria; Squamata; Sphaerodactylidae. The record is from RNAcentral.
GGAGGCGUGCCUCAGUGGCGGGGGCUCUGCUUUGCCUGCAGUAGGUCCCGGGUUCAAUGCCCAGCAUCUCCA